AAAUAAAAUAAUGCUUAAAAGUACCUCCAAUUUUACAAUGUAUUGAGACUUUCACUAACAUUCUGAUGAAACUGAUUCAUAUCUUUACAGACAUGUACAUUCACAUUUUGACCAACAAUUUCAAACAGCAUAGUUCAUUUUUUUCCCUUAUAUACAAACAUUUACCAUAAAAUGGAAAUUUGUUGGAUACAUGUACAUAGUAAAAUUCCUCAAAAGACCAGAAAAAAAAUAACAAAUUACAGAUAGAGUCAUCAUCCUGCACAAUCUGCCAUGCAUGCUGCUGUAGAAAUUUACCAUCCCGCAAUACACCUCGAAUUCCAAGUUAUUCUUUUCCUCUGAUGUUAUAACACAAUUGUUUCUCUACACAUCUUGGUUUCUGCAUUUUUCUGAAGAUUAUUAUUAUGAACUAUUAACAACUAUUAACACAUUCAGAGUCUCCCUUCUGUUGAUAAAUGGAUUCAGCACUUAAUCUUUAUACACCGUUUUUUUUUAUUUUUUUUAUGAAUCAACUUUGUACACCUUUAGGAUCAGCUAUGCAGUAGUUAGCACUCCUAGAACAUAUGUAAGGUGCCUAGGAACAAUAAUAUAUUUAACAAAAGGUUAUUCUCUCUCGAGGUUAUCGUCCGAAUUGCCUUUGGGGCUCUCCAACAUAUCACCUGAGUAAGAUCCAUCUGUAUCUGAAAUUCCGUUCAAGAGGAAGGCCAGAUGGAGCAGAUCCUACAUGAUGAUGGUGCUGGGAGCCAAGAAAAGGAUUGCGAUGACCCGUGUAUGGGAAACCCUGCCUUUGGGCACUAGAUGUAAAUGGAUGCCCAAGGGAAGAUGAAGACCAAGCAGAUGUGUUUGAAUUCUCUGAAUAAGGAGUUGGGCUUCCCCAAAGAAAUUGCGGACCAGACAGUGUACCAACACUCGAUGAACUUGAAUUCGAUUCACCAAAAGCAGAUAUAGGCCUAGGACUUACGUUUACGUUUUUC
RNAcentral lists this long non-coding RNA (971 nucleotides) under Medicago truncatula (barrel medic). RNAcentral describes it as "lncRNA gene14993". Lineage: Eukaryota; Viridiplantae; Streptophyta; Magnoliopsida; Fabales; Fabaceae. The record is from RNAcentral.